RNAcentral lists this ribosomal RNA (253 nucleotides) under uncultured bacterium. RNAcentral describes it as "partial 16S ribosomal RNA". It matches the Rfam family "Bacterial small subunit ribosomal RNA", at positions 524 to 776 of the family's 1533-position model. The record is from RNAcentral.
UACGAAGGGGGCUAGCGUUGCUCGGAAUGACUGGGCGUAAAGGGCGCGUAGGCGGUUUGUACAGUCAGAUGUGAAAUUCCUGGGCUCAACCUGGGGGCUGCAUUUGAUACGUAUGGACUGGAGUGAGGAAGAGGGUCGUGGAAUUCCCAGUGUAGAGGUGAAAUUCGUAGAUAUUGGGAAGAACACCGGUGGCGAAGGCGGCGACCUGGUCCUUUACUGACGCUGAGGUGCGAAAGCGUGGGGAGCAAACAGG